This 506-nucleotide ribosomal RNA is filed under the name uncultured bacterium. Its description in RNAcentral is "partial 16S ribosomal RNA". It matches the Rfam family "Bacterial small subunit ribosomal RNA", at positions 28 to 523 of the family's 1533-position model. The record is from RNAcentral.
GAUGAACGCUAGCUACAGGCUUAACACAUGCAAGUCGAGGGGUAACGAGAGGAAAGCUUGCUUUCCUUGUCGACGACCGGCGCACGGGUGAGUAACGCGUAUCCAACCUGCCCCCAACUAAGGAAUAACCUUGCGAAAGUAAGACUAAUACCUUAUAAUUUCCUCAGAUGUCAUCUGACGAGGAAUAAAGAUUUAUCGGUUGUGGAUGGGGAUGCGUCUGAUUAGCUUGUUGGCGGGGUAACGGCCCACCAAGGCAACGAUCAGUAGGGGUUUUGCGAGGAAGUUCCCCCACAUUGGAACUGAGACACGGUCCAAACUCCUACGGGAGGCAGCAGUGAGGAAUAUUGGUCAAUGGGCGAAAGCCUGAACCAGCCAAGUAGCGUGCAGGAUGACGGCCCUAUGGGUUGUAAACUGCUUUUAUACAGGAAUAAAGUUAGCCACGUGUGGUUAUUUGUAGGUACUGUAUGAAUAAGGACCGGCUAAUUCCGUGCCAGCAGCCGCAGUAA